AAAGACUUAAGUUAGUAAGACUGUGAGCCUUCAAAGCUCAAAGAACAGGUUAAAUCCCUGUAGUCUUUG
Molecule: transfer RNA, 69 nt
Filed under: Holothuria pervicax
Lineage: Eukaryota; Metazoa; Echinodermata; Holothuroidea; Aspidochirotida; Holothuriidae
Description: tRNA-Trp
Rfam family: tRNA
About the family: Transfer RNA (tRNA) molecules are approximately 80 nucleotides in length. Their secondary structure includes four short double-helical elements and three loops (D, anti-codon, and T loops).
Source: RNAcentral